This 72-nucleotide transfer RNA is filed under the name Vermetus triquetrus. RNAcentral describes it as "tRNA-Val". The record is from RNAcentral. Lineage: Eukaryota; Metazoa; Mollusca; Gastropoda; Littorinimorpha; Vermetidae.
GAGGGUGUAGCAUAGUUAUAUAAUGUAUCUCACUUACAUUGAGAUGAUUUACCGUAAGUGGUAGGGCUCUUU